GGAAAUUUCAUAUUUAUUCAUCUUAAGGCAAGUGUUUCCUUCAAUAGAAUUUAAGCUCCCUGCGGGCAGGAAUGAUUUCGAUUCCACUUUGUAUCUCCAGGGGCUGCAUUUCUCUGCUGGUCUGUCCUUUCACUGAUGUUGGGGACUCGAAGUGAAGCCUCUCCACCAAGGACGCUGCUAUUUCUGGCCUUAACGAUUUGCCUCGAGCCCUAAGAAGUUGAGAGAUUACUCAGUCAGAAGGAGUCUGAGAGUUACCAUUGGGAAAACAGCCCACUGGGAAAAGAUGCUCUAGCUACACUCGGAUGGUUCACCUUGACGCACACUCAAUGGAUUCUGAGAACUUGUCUGCUUUUCCAGCUGGUCACAUGACUGAAGCUAUUUGAUCACCUGACACAAUUUCUGAGCUGAAAUGAAAUAAUUCUACCUCAUGGCAAUGAUACUGAUUGUCCUUGACCAAAUUUGGGAAGAGGAACUUAGUGAGAGUGUGGGAGGCCCCUUUAUCCUCCCUGCUGCCCCUCAAUGAUUCUUUCCCACUCCUGUUUUGAUCCCAUUUGAUGGAGCCAGAAGAGAAGAGAGAAAUUGGCAAUUCCCUGGAUGGAGUGAUGGGAAAUUUGGAGGUGAUUGGAUGAUUUAUGGGGGCAUCAAUGUGUGCACCAUUACUGUUAGGGCUACAUCAGUACCUCCAUUGAAAACCCUUAUUUUCAUAUAACAGAGCCAUAAAAAAAUUACUCCAGAUUGAAACUUGGCAUGUUGGCUCAGAGUAGGACCAUUUUAAAAAAUUCAAUAAAAUAAUAAAUGUACUCUCUGCCCCA
RNAcentral lists this long non-coding RNA (812 nucleotides) under Monodelphis domestica (gray short-tailed opossum). RNAcentral describes it as "lncRNA (ENSMODG00000049213.1)". The record is from RNAcentral. Lineage: Eukaryota; Metazoa; Chordata; Mammalia; Didelphimorphia; Didelphidae.